RNAcentral lists this long non-coding RNA (255 nucleotides) under Ananas comosus (pineapple). Its description in RNAcentral is "long non-coding RNA (ACOM_LNC037299)". The record is from RNAcentral. Lineage: Eukaryota; Viridiplantae; Streptophyta; Magnoliopsida; Poales; Bromeliaceae.
GGAAAUGACGGGUGAGCGACGGUGAAGUUCCAGUGCGGUUUUCGGGACUUCCGGUUUGUUCGGUAAUCGGUUUUGGAAAAUCGAUUCUCGUGGGUUUAUUUGUGGGGUUAUUCUUUUAGGGUUUCUUAGUUGUGGGUUAGACACUAACCUAGUGGACCCCCCUUAGGUCCUGUUGACGUUCUUUUGCAGUCAGAAGACAGGCGCGACAGUUGUACAGGUGGGUACUUCGAUCCGACGUUGGUACAGUGGUGCACN